AGAAAUGCAAUGAGAAGGAAGAGUAGGAAUAGUUCAAUUUUCAGCGAUUCGGGAAAUGGUGAGAGCCCGAUAAUGAUGGCUAUUUCGAAGACACCUUUAAGCAGGCUGUCUGAAUGUACAGUAGGACGGCACGCAUACCGGCGUUAACGGUAAAAGUGGGAUUUUCCAAUUAGGGUGGUACCGCGGGAUAUAAAACUUCUCGUCCCUGUC
RNAcentral lists this non-coding RNA (210 nucleotides) under Geosporobacter ferrireducens. RNAcentral's name for it is "T-box sequence". It matches the Rfam family "T-box leader". Rfam says of the family: Uncharged tRNA acts as the effector for transcription antitermination of genes in the T-box leader family. T-boxes are found upstream of many aminoacyl-tRNA synthetase genes and some amino acid biosynthetic genes usually in Gram-positive bacteria. The anticodon of a specific tRNA base pairs to a specifier sequence within the T-box motif, and the NCCA acceptor tail of the tRNA base pairs to a conserved bulge in the T-box antiterminator hairpin. The record is from RNAcentral. Lineage: Bacteria; Bacillati; Bacillota; Clostridia; Peptostreptococcales; Thermotaleaceae.